UCAGAACGAACGCUGGCGGCAGGCUUAACACAUGCAAGUCGAACGCAUCCUUCGGGGUGAGUGGCAGACGGGUGAGUAACACGUGGGAACGUACCCCUUUGUUCGGAAUAACCCUGGGAAACUAGGGCUAAUACCGGAUACGGCCGAGAGGCGAAAGGUUUACUGCAGAGGGAUCGGCCCGCGUCCGAUUAGCUAGUUGGAGAGGUAAUGGCUCACCAAGGCAUCGAUCGGUAGCUGGUCUGAGAGGAUGACCAGCCACAUUGGGACUGAGACACGGCCCAAACUCCUACGGGAGGCAGCAGUGGGGAAUAUUGGACAAUGGGCGCAAGCCUGAUCCAGCCAUGCCGCGUGAGUGAUGACGGCCUUAGGGUUGUAAAGCUCUUUUGCCUGGGAAGAUAAUGACGGUACCAGGAGAAUAAGCCCCGGCUAACUUCGUGCCAGCAGCCGCGGUAAUACGAAGGGGGCUAGCGUUGUUCGGAUUUACUGGGCGUAAAGGGCGCGUAGGCGGACCUGUAAGUCAGGGGUGAAAUCCCAAGGCUCAACCUUGGAACUGCCUUUGAUACUGUGGGUCUUGAGUCCGGGAGAGGUGAGUGGAACUGCGAGUGUAGAGGUGAAAUUCGUAGAUAUUCGCAAGAACACCAGUGGCGAAGGCGGCUCACUGGCCCGGAACUGACGCUGAGGCGCGAAAGCGUGGGGAGCAAACAGGAUUAGAUACCCUGGUAGUCCACGCCUUAAACGAUGGAUGCUAGCCGUUGGUCAGCUUGCUGAUCCGUGGCGCCGUUAACACAUAAGCAUCCC
Molecule: ribosomal RNA, 798 nt
Filed under: bacterium
Lineage: Bacteria
Description: bacterial SSU rRNA
Rfam family: Bacterial small subunit ribosomal RNA
Source: RNAcentral